Long non-coding RNA from Schistocerca piceifrons (Central American locust), 1855 nucleotides. RefSeq lists it as uncharacterized. Lineage: Eukaryota; Metazoa; Arthropoda; Insecta; Orthoptera; Acrididae. The record is from RefSeq and is a predicted model, not a curated record. The transcript is spliced from 2 exons.
GUGAAUAUUGGCUUUUAUGCACAUCUUGUAUAUUUCGACAGUUGGUAGCGGUCUACCAGUUUUGCGAAAAAAAUUAUAAAACUUAGGGGAAAAUAUUGGUGAAAAGAUACAGAAGUACAAGAGAAGAUAGGUGAAAAGAUACGGAAGUACAAGAGAACUGUUUGAAGUAGGCAAUUACAGCCCAAAACUCUGAAGAAAUGCUUACAAACCAUUAGGAGGAAGGAGGUAUCACAGAGGAAACUUGAAACACUUUUUAAUACCCUAAGAACCUUAAUUAAUAAACUAAAGUUAAAGAAAGAAGUUAAUUCAUUGUCAGGGUUACCACAGAUUUUUACUAAUGAAGAAGAAUCACAGCCUGUUAUAGAUGUUUCACAACUGAGUGAAUCUUGGUUCCUGUCACUCCCAUUGAACUUCAAAUGAUAGUGAAGUCAUACAUUCAAAUAUGAUUGUCCAGGCCAAAAUGGCUCUUGGGUGUCACCCAACACGACCCUGAACUUCGUGUACGCUUUGCAACCGACAUUAAAGUGAGUAGAGCUACUGUUGAUGAGUAGAGAAAAUACUGAACAUUAGCAUGUUGAACUGAAAGAUAUGCCAGCAAGCACUGUAUGGUACUUUGAUGAAACCAAUCUCACUGAUAAUCCUAGGAAAAAGAAAGCUUUUGCAAAAAUAAAUUCAAAAUAGUCAAUAAACAUUUGUAAUUCCUCCAAGAGCAACUUAUCAGUAAUGUUUGCUGGCAGUGACAAGGGAGAAAUCUUGCCUCCAUUUGUUUGUGAUCUACAUGGAUAGAAAAUGGGCCCAGUGGCUAUUUUUAGCCAAUUUGCUCUAGUGGAUGGUUUGACAGUUGUUCACUAGGCUGAUGCUACUGAAAUUGGAAAACUUGGAAGGGAAGAAAGUAGUAAUCUGUGAUGAUUUAUUCUCACAUUUGACAGACUAUGUCGUAGGGCUCUACCGUGAGAAUUAUGUUUCAUUCAUCUGUUUGCCAGUGAACAGUACCCACAUUACACAUUACACAGCCAUUGGAUGUUUCUGUCAUUGAGCCCAUAAAAGCAACCUGGAGCCAGAUUCUUACAGACUGGAAAAGCAGCAAGUUAGGCUUCAAAGACUUUCUUCCAGAAACAGCAUUUACCAUUUCUGUUAAGAAGACUAAUGUUUAUAUUGGCAGGUUUCAGAAAGUGCAGCAUACAUCCAAUCAAUGUUGUUGAAAUUCUCCAUCUUCAUUCAAGGACAUGUGACAAGGAUGCAGUAAAGGACACUUUCAUUGAAGCCCUCCACAAUAAGAGAUCUGAAUGGACUACUGGUGUUGCCAAUAAGAGAGUGAGAAGGAAAAUUAGAGUGACUCCCAGUAAAAGUGUGACAGAGAUGCUGAAAAAGGUUACAAAGGAAACAGAGAAGAAGUCACAAAAAUGAAGCAAGUAGCCCAGAAGAAGAUUCUGAAGCUAUCCCUCUAAGAGAUUCUUUUGAAGAUGAUCAGAGCAGCAUCACCUGUAACAUGUGAAGCAGAUGAUGCCCAGUUAGUAAAUAGUCAAAGAAGAGUGGUCCAGAAUUUAAUGAAGUUGUGUGCACUGUGCAACAUAUGAAGGGAGAUGGAUGAAUUACUGAUUUAGGUGAUGAUGGAGCUACAGUAAAUUCAAGGCAGAAGCCUAAGAAAUCAUGGAAGUGGCCAGUGUCGAAGAUGAAAUGGUGUAUGAUGUUGAUGAAAUGAUUGGCACCAUUCAGCCUCCAAUACAGAUAAGCCAAUGUGCUACAGUUGCACUAGAGCUUCGAUGUUAGUGGUAAUAACUCACAACAUAGAGUAUAUUUUGUGUUAAAUCUUUAAACUGUAGACUAUUUUGAUAAUAAAAUUUGUUUGUGCAUA